AGAAACGCUGUUAAAAGUGGAUCAGACCGAGCGCCAAGCCGCCAAAACACACUUGUAGCCAAUCAGCAGUAAGGGGGGCGUGUCCACUUAUGAGGAGGGAGUUGCCUGUGCUGUAUAGCGUGUUUGUGAAUUCGGUGGGGCGGAGCUAUCAAGAUAAGGGUGUGAUAUUUUUUAGAUAUUUUUCAAGAUAUUUUUUAACUUUGUGCAUUCUUUUUAACAGGAAAGGAAGGCAAAUACAAAUUGAGUGGAUUCUUUGGAAAUAAAUACCAAGGAUAAUUUUGAAGUGGAAGUUGUUGCUGCAAUAAUGUGUAUCUUCACUUGAUUGCUCUUUUUUUUUACACAAUGUUUCUGUGAAUGUUGUACAUUUUCUGUCAUUUUGAGUAUUUUGUUCUCCUUGUAUUUUAAUGUAUUGUUGAUAUUUGUUACCUUGCCAUAAAAAUAAACAGCUGCUUGUACAAAUAAAGACAUUUUAGAUUAAAUAAUUAUAUCUGAUGCAUCUUUUUUCUUUUUAAAUUCCACAAUUCCACAAGUUUCUUGUGUUUUAUGUUUUAUGAAUUUAUGUUUUAUGUAGAAGUUUUCUAUAAGCCACUGUUAUUUAUUUCUGUUUAAUUUCCUGUAGCAAGGCUAUGUAUGGUUUUGAAUAAAUACUCUAAAUCCAA
Pimephales promelas (fathead minnow) is the source of this 659-nucleotide non-coding RNA. NCBI's taxonomy places the organism in Eukaryota, Metazoa, Chordata, Actinopteri, Cypriniformes, Leuciscidae. The record is from RefSeq and is a predicted model, not a curated record.